RNAcentral lists this ribosomal RNA (329 nucleotides) under uncultured eukaryote. RNAcentral describes it as "partial 18S ribosomal RNA". It matches the Rfam family "Eukaryotic small subunit ribosomal RNA", at positions 1470 to 1796 of the family's 1831-position model. The record is from RNAcentral.
CCCUUAGAUGUUCUGGGCCGCACGCGCGCUACACUGAUGCAUUCAACGAGUCUAAAACCUGCUCUGAUAGGGGUGGGUAAUCUUUUGAAUGUGCAUCGUGAUUGGGAUAGAUGAUUGAAAUUUUUCAUCUUCAACGAGGAAUGCCUAGUAAACGCAAGUCAUCAGCUUGCAUUGAUUACGUCCCUGCCCUUUGUACACACCGCCCGUCGCUCCUACCGAUUGAAUGAUCCGAUGAAUAUCAUGGAUUGAGGAUGCAAGUAGGUUCACCUAUCUUCAUCUUCGAGAAGUGAAGUAAAUCUUAUCAUUUAGAGGAAGGGGAAGUCGUAACA